Molecule: unclassified non-coding RNA, 328 nt
Filed under: soil metagenome
Description: partial contains 5.8S ribosomal RNA, internal transcribed spacer 2, and large subunit ribosomal RNA
Rfam family: 5.8S ribosomal RNA (bases 1-120)
Source: RNAcentral
GAUGAAGAACGCAGCGAAAUGCGAUAAGUAGUGUGAAUUGCAGAAUUCAGUGAAUCAUCGAAUCUUUGAACGCACAUUGCGCCCCUUGGUAUCCCGAGGGGCAUGCCUGUUCGAGCGUCAUUUCACCACUCAAGCCUGGCUUGGUGUUGGGCGACGUCCCCUUUGGGGACGCGCCUCGAAACGCUCGGCGGCGUGGCACCGGCUUUAAGCGUAGCAGAAUCUUUCGCUUUGGAAGUCGGGGCCCCGUCUGCCGGAAGACCUACUCGCAAGGUUGACCUCGGAUCAGGCAGGGAUACCCGCUGAACUUAAGCAUAUCAAUAAGCGGAGA